Molecule: small RNA, 61 nt
Filed under: Sinorhizobium meliloti 2011
Lineage: Bacteria; Pseudomonadati; Pseudomonadota; Alphaproteobacteria; Hyphomicrobiales; Rhizobiaceae
Description: putative ncRNA
Source: RNAcentral
GAUGGAUUGCAAAUCAAAUUUGCUGAUCGAGACAACACCCGGAUUGAUGGGCGCUUCUUGU